This 27-nucleotide non-coding RNA is filed under the name Homo sapiens (human). Lineage: Eukaryota; Metazoa; Chordata; Mammalia; Primates; Hominidae. The record is from RNAcentral.
UGAACCCUGCAGGAGAUUGGGAGCCUU